RNAcentral lists this ribosomal RNA (387 nucleotides) under Stylocheiron sp. USNM IZ 1448662. RNAcentral describes it as "SSU rRNA". It matches the Rfam family "Eukaryotic small subunit ribosomal RNA", at positions 51 to 414 of the family's 1831-position model. The record is from RNAcentral. Lineage: Eukaryota; Metazoa; Arthropoda; Malacostraca; Euphausiacea; Euphausiidae.
AUGCAUGUCUAAGUACAGGCCUAAGGAAGGCGAAACCGCGAAUGGCUCAUUAAAUCAGUUAUGGUUCAUUGGAUCCUACCAUUUCUUACUUGGAUAACUGUGGUAAUUCUAGAGCUAAUACAUGCCGACCAGUAGCUCCGACGCGCCCCGGCGUGGAAGAGCGCUUUUAUUAGAUCAAAACCCGUCCUCCCCCGGGAGGUCAAACCCCCUCAGUGGUGACUCUGAAUAACUUUUAGCUGAGCGCACGGCCCCCGCGCCGGCGCCGCAUCUUUCAAGUGUCUGCCUUAUCAGCUCUCGAUUGUAGGUUAUGCGCCUACAAUGGCUAUAACGGGUAACGGGGAAUCAGGGUUCGAUUCCGGAGAGGGAGCCUGAGAAACGGCUACCACA